AGCAGUCGCCACGGUAAUACGUAGGUGGCAAGCGUUGUCCGGAAUUAUUGGGCGUAAAGGGAGCGCAGGCGGGCAUAUAAGUCUUUCUUAAAAGUUCGGGGCUCAACCCCGUGAUGGGAAAGAAACUAUAUGUCUUGAGUACAGGAGAGGAAAGCGGAAUUCCCAGUGUAGCGGUGAAAUGCGUAGAUGUUGGGAGGAACACCAGUGGCGAAGGCGGCUUUCUGGACUGCAACUGACGCUGUGGCUCGAAAGCCAGGGGAGCGAACGGGAUUAGAUACCCCUGUAGUCCCUGUCUCUUAUACA
RNAcentral lists this ribosomal RNA (303 nucleotides) under uncultured bacterium. RNAcentral describes it as "partial 16S ribosomal RNA". It matches the Rfam family "Bacterial small subunit ribosomal RNA", at positions 507 to 809 of the family's 1533-position model. The record is from RNAcentral.